RNAcentral lists this transfer RNA (69 nucleotides) under Ornithorhynchus anatinus (platypus). It matches the Rfam family "tRNA". Rfam says of the family: Transfer RNA (tRNA) molecules are approximately 80 nucleotides in length. Lineage: Eukaryota; Metazoa; Chordata; Mammalia; Monotremata; Ornithorhynchidae. The record is from Rfam by way of RNAcentral.
GGCGUGGCUUAGCGGUAAGAGCCCGGGUUUGGGAAUCGCACGUCGCGGGUUCUAAUCCCGCCUCCGCCA